GCGCCCCCAACGUGGGACCCGAGAACGGGGGACUUAGUGUGGGACACUGUUCGUGGGCCCAAAGUAGAAAAAGGAAAAGAAAAUAGAGGACCAAUGUGGGAGCCUGCCACGCCGCUGAACCUCGGUAAGUGAACAGCGAUUAUGGGACAAGAAAUUAGCCAGCAUGAGAUUUUUGUUGAAAAUUUAGUAAAACUUUUAAAGACACAAGGAGUUAAGGUGAAUAUUGAACAAUUAUGUCAAUACUUCAAUUUUAUAAAAGAGGUUUGCCCUU
Molecule: regulatory RNA element, 271 nt
Organism: Cavia porcellus (domestic guinea pig)
Lineage: Eukaryota; Metazoa; Chordata; Mammalia; Rodentia; Caviidae
Rfam family: Mason-Pfizer monkey virus packaging signal
About the family: The packaging signal is located in the 5' UTR and is required for specific RNA encapsidation.
Source: Rfam